CAAUAGCGUAUAUUAAAGUUGUUGCAGUUAGAACGCUCGUAGUCGGAUUUCGGGGCGGGCCGACCGGUCUGCCGAUGGGUACGCACUGGUCGGCGCGUCCUUCCUUCCGGAGACCGUUCCUACUCUUAACUGAGCGGGGGCGGGAGACGGAUCGUUUACUUUGAAAAAAUCAGAGUGUUUCAAGCAGGCAGCUCGCUCUUGCAUGGAUUAGCAUGGGAUAAUGAAAUAGGACUUUGGUGCUAUUUUGUUGGUUUCGAACACCGAAGUAAUGAUUAAAAGGGACAGUCAGGGGCACUCGUAUUCCGCCGAGAGAGGUGAAAUUCUCAGACCAGCGGAAGACGAACCACUGCGAAAGCAUUUGCCAGGGAUGUUUUCACUG
Molecule: ribosomal RNA, 379 nt
Filed under: uncultured eukaryote
Lineage: Eukaryota
Description: partial 18S ribosomal RNA
Rfam family: Eukaryotic small subunit ribosomal RNA
Source: RNAcentral